GGCAAAAUGGAGCAUGAAACCGUAGAGGCUAAUUAAUUGUGUUUUUUGGUAAAAAUUACUUAUAUUGGAGGUAAAAUAUGGCUCCAGCAUGAGUUGAAAUCACGCCAUUCAAAAAAAAUAAUUGAAGGACAAAAUGGGAAUGCCCCAAUUGAAAUAUAUAUGGAGACAGCUCCGAAAUAACGUCUUCAACAAUCAAGAUGUGAAUCGAAUAUUGUAAGUACUGUAUCCUUAUUAUUUCAAUAAAUAAUACUCGUAUAAUCGUAAUGAUAAAAUUACUACGUUACUGUUUCACCAGAAGUUGCUUUUCAUGAAAAAACAUCGAAGAUUAACAUUUAUCGUUAGGGUAGAUUGCUGAUAUUUUUGCUUCAACAUUUCACUCCAAUCGUUAUGGUUAUUGUGAUUGACUAAUAUUUACGUGACUUUCCAUUUCACCUUUAUUAUAUUUCUCAAGAAGUAUUUAGGACUUAAUAAUAUUCAAUUGCUCCGAAAAAUAUUUUGGAGUGAUAGACUGAUGGUGUUUACGAAACAGGAAAUUAAAGGUUUUUUUUUGGGGGGGGGGGGUGAUGGAUUACGUGACUAUGGAAUAGUGUGAACACGAUUGGAACCCUUUAUUUUCAUUCUUAUAACAAAAAUAAUUACUCUUAAAUGUUAAUACGACUUGAUUCAUUAUCUACAAACGAUUUAUUAUCAACUACAUAAAAGAAAAACUAAAAAAGUAAUAUUUUUAAUAUUUUUCCAACUAAUUACAUUUUUUUUUUGAAUAAUAAAUAAUGAAGACUCUUAAAGGUUGCAAUGAAUCAAGCCGUAUGAACGGUUAAGAAUAACUAUUUCUAUUAUAAUAAUGAAAAUAAAGUUUUCUCAAUUUAUGUUCACACUAUUCCAUAGUCAAGUGAUCCAAUUGUGUUUCCCCCUCCUCCCCCCCGAAAAAAAAGAUUUGCACUUCAAUUUUCUGUUACUGUUAAUACAUCCGGCUGCAAGACAGAUUUUAAUCAGUGCGAUAAUGAUUGAAGAAGAAGACUGUUAAUAUGUACGUGAGCGCCAUGAGUAGAUUACUCCAAAAUAUUUUUCGUUGUAAUUAAAUAUUAAAUAUUAUUAAGUCCUAAGUACUUCUUGAAAAAUAUACAAAAGGUGACAUGGAAAGUCACGUAAAUAUUAGUCAAUUACAAUAACCAUAAAGAUUGAAGUGAAAUGUCGGAAUAAAAAUUUUCAUAGCAAUUUACCGUGGUGAUACAUUGUUAAUUUUCGAUGUUAUUCCAUGGAAAAAUAAAUUUCAGGUAGAAUAAUAACGGAGUAAUUUGAUCACUACGAUCAUAAGAGUAUUAUUUAUUGAAAUAACAAUGAUACAAUGUUUGCUAUCAACGCAGUGACGUUACUUCGGAGUUGUCCCCAUAAUAUGGAUAUUCAAUGAGAGGUUAUCAACGGAGAAGGUCUUUUUGUUCACGACAUUCAUCACUACUUUCCAUAUUUUUACACACGGAGUCAAUCACUGAAAAAUCAAAAAACAUGUCCUGCUGCUACCUCACAUCAUCGGACCCUCUAUGCUAAGGUCCCCUGAAUGAAUCUAAGUUGAACAAUUCACAGCAUAGUAACUGUUAUGGCUGAUGAGCGGAUACUGAGAUCUGGGGUCUGAUUCCGAUCGCUUGUGACACUGAGAAGCGAAAUGGGAGCUUUUGUUUUACUUUGUGUCAACAUAGUAAACAAAUGACAACUAUCUUACUUCUCACUGUCACAAGCGAUCGGAAUCGUGUCCCUGGUCGUGGAGACAUUACGCUUUCAUCGAAAACUUACGAUGUACGCUUUUUCUGUCUUUUACGAAUCUCGGAAAGGACUGCAAGCCCAGUGACUGUGCUUUCCCUACAGUCCCCUACAACGCCUUUCUGUAGGGUUCAGAGGACACCUCAACGGGGCACCUGCACGGAGUUGCCUCAUCCCCAGUCCUAAUUCCACCAGUGAUAUUGUCAGGGCCGAGCUUCUCCUAGAGCCCCUCACCAGGACCAAACUUCUCUAUAGGAUUUCAGCUAUCUCCUGAAAAACAACCCAAACAACAUAAACAUAGUCCACAAGACGUACAUCAAGUCCUUCAGCACGAUUCUCUCCUAUACUAUUUCGUUCAACCGAAUUCAAUGUCAUUCUGUUUGUCAAAUUCUUUGAAUUAAAAAAUUAAUCCAAUCCAA
Long non-coding RNA from Diachasma alloeum, 2174 nucleotides. RefSeq lists it as uncharacterized. The record is from RefSeq and is a predicted model, not a curated record. The transcript has 2 exons. NCBI's taxonomy places the organism in Eukaryota, Metazoa, Arthropoda, Insecta, Hymenoptera, Braconidae.